CAUUAGAUGACUGAAAAGCAAGUAAUGGUCUCUUAAACCAAAAUAUAGUAAACUAGUGAUUACUUCUAAUGA
Molecule: transfer RNA, 72 nt
Filed under: Chironomus tentans
Lineage: Eukaryota; Metazoa; Arthropoda; Insecta; Diptera; Chironomidae
Description: tRNA-Lys
Source: RNAcentral